Non-coding RNA from Termitomyces sp. T32_za158, 84 nucleotides. The record is from the annotation of a GenBank genome assembly. Lineage: Eukaryota; Fungi; Basidiomycota; Agaricomycetes; Agaricales; Lyophyllaceae.
GGGCACAUGGUGUAGUUGGUUAUCACGCCCGCUUAGCAUUUCGCUGUCUGCGGGCGGUGCCCGGUUCAAUUCCGGGUGUGUCCA